UACGAAGGGUGCAAGCGUUAAUCGGAAUUACUGGGCGUAAAGGGCGCGCAGGCGGGCCAUCAAGUCGGAUGUGAAACCGGUCGGCUUAACCGACCGCCUGCAUCCGAUACUGUUGGUCUUGAGUACGGGAGAGGAGAGUGGAAUUCCAGGUGUAGCGGUGAAAUGCGUAGAUAUAGGAAGGAACACCAGUGGCGAAGGCGACUACCUGGACUGAUACUGACACUGAGGUGCGAAAGCGUGGGGAGCAAACAGGAUUAGAAACCCCUGUAGU
RNAcentral lists this ribosomal RNA (271 nucleotides) under uncultured bacterium. RNAcentral describes it as "partial 16S ribosomal RNA". It matches the Rfam family "Bacterial small subunit ribosomal RNA", at positions 524 to 794 of the family's 1533-position model. The record is from RNAcentral.